Molecule: ribosomal RNA, 465 nt
Filed under: uncultured bacterium
Lineage: Bacteria
Description: partial 16S ribosomal RNA
Rfam family: Bacterial small subunit ribosomal RNA
Source: RNAcentral
CCUACGGGAGGCUGCAGUGGGGAAUAUUGCGCAAUGGGCGAACGCCUGACGCAGCGACGCCGCGUGAGGGAUGAAGGUCUUCGGAUCGUAAACCUCUGUCAGCAGGGACGAACGGUCACUGUGCUAAUCAGCAGUGAAUUGACGGUACCUGCAAAGGAAGCACCGGCUACCUCCGUGCCAGCCGCCGCGGUAAUACGGAGGGUGCGAGCGUUAAUCGGAAUUACUGGGCGUAAAGCGCUCGUAGGCGGUAUGUCAAGUCAAGGGUGAAAUCCCCGCGCUCAACGUGGGAACUGCCUUUGAAACUGGCAAACUGGAGUGUGUGAGAGGAUAGUGGAAUGCCAGGUGUAGGAGUGAAAUCCGUAGAUAUCUGGAGGAACAUCAGUGGCGAAGGCGACUAUCUGGCACAUAACUGACGCUGAGGAGCGAAAGCGUGGGUAGCAAACAGGAUUAGAUACCCCAGUAGUC